GAUGAAGAACGUAGCGAAAUGCGAUAAGUAAUGUGAAUUGCAGAAUUCAGUGAAUCAUCGAAUCUUUGAACGCACAUUGCGCCCGUCAGUAUUCUGGCGGGCAUGCCUGUUCGAGCGUCAUUACGCCCCUCAAGUCCCCUGUGGACUUGGUGUUGGGGAUCGGCGAGGCUGGUUUUCCAGCACAGCCGUCCCUUAAAUUAAUUGGCGGUCUCGCCGUGGCCCUCCUCUGCGCAGUAGUAAAACACUCGCAACAGGAGCCCGGCGCGGUCCACUGCCGUAAAACCCCCCAACUUUUUAUAGUUGACCUCGAAUCAGGUAGGACUACCCGCUGAACUUAAGCAUAUCAAUAAAGCGGAGGA
This 359-nucleotide unclassified non-coding RNA is filed under the name soil metagenome. RNAcentral describes it as "partial contains 5.8S ribosomal RNA, internal transcribed spacer 2, and large subunit ribosomal RNA". The stretch from base 1 to 120 matches the Rfam family "5.8S ribosomal RNA", at positions 35 to 154 of the family's 154-position model. The record is from RNAcentral.